This 422-nucleotide ribosomal RNA is filed under the name uncultured bacterium. RNAcentral's name for it is "bacterial SSU rRNA". It matches the Rfam family "Bacterial small subunit ribosomal RNA", at positions 355 to 774 of the family's 1533-position model. The record is from RNAcentral.
UAAGGAAUAUUGGUCAAUGGACGCAAGUCUGAACCAGCCAUGCCGCGUGGAGGAUGAAGGCCCUCUGGGUUGUAAACUUCUUUUAUAUGGGACGAAACACUUCUUUUCUAAGAGGCCUGACGGUACCAGAUGAAUAAGCACCGGCUAACUCCGUGCCAGCAGCCGCGGUAAUACGGAGGGUGCAAGCGUUAUCCGGAUUCACUGGGUUUAAAGGGUGCGUAGGUGGGUUGGUAAGUCAGUGGUGAAAUCUCCGAGCUUAACUUGGAAACUGCCAUUGAUACUAUAGGUCUUGAAUCAUCUGGAGGUGAGCGGAAUAUGUCAUGUAGCGGUGAAAUGCUUAGAUAUGACAUAGAACACCGAUUGCGAAGGCAGCUCACUACGGAUGUAUUGACACUGAGGCACGAAAGCGUGGGGAUCAAACA